CUGGCGCAGGCCGUGGAAGGUGGCGAGUUGCUCGGACCGGCUCUCGCCGGUGUAGAGGGCGAUGUCGUCGCCGAUCGCGUUGGCCGGCCAGA
RNAcentral lists this transfer RNA (92 nucleotides) under Methylobacterium cerastii. Its description in RNAcentral is "tRNA-Pro". The record is from RNAcentral. Lineage: Bacteria; Pseudomonadati; Pseudomonadota; Alphaproteobacteria; Hyphomicrobiales; Methylobacteriaceae.